CACGGACUUCGGUCUGGUGGCGAGUGGCAAACGGGUGAGUAAUAUAUCGGAACAUACCCUAGAGUGGGGGAUAACGUAGCGAAAGUUACGCUAAUACCGCAUACGCACUAAGGUGGAAAGUGGGGGAUCGCAAGACCUCAUGCUCAUGGAGUGGCCGAUAUCUGAUUAGCUAGUUGGUGAGGUAAAGGCUCACCAAGGCGACGAUCAGUAGCUGGUUUGAGAGAACGACCAGCCACACUGGAACUGAGACACGGUCCAGACUCCUACGGGAGGCAGCAGUGGGGAAUUUUGGACAAUGGGCGCAAGCCUGAUCCAGCAAUGCCGCGUGAGUGAAGAAGGCCUUCGGGUUGUAAAGCUCUUUUGUCAGGGAAGAAACGGUAGUCUCUAAUACAGAUUGCUAAUGACGGUACCUGAAGAAUAAGCACCGGCUAACUACGUGCCAGCAGCCGCGGUAAUACGUAGGGUGCAAGCGUUAAUCGGAAUUACUGGGCGUAAAGCGUGCGCAGGCGGUUAUAUAAGUCAGAUGUGAAAUCCCCGGGCUCAACCUGGGAACUGCAUUUGAGACUGUAUGGCUAGAGUGUGUCAGAGGGGGGUAGAAUUCCACGUGUAGCAGUGAAAUGCGUAGAGAUGUGGAGGAAUACCGAUGGCGAAGGCAGCCCCCUGGGAUAACACUGACGCUCAUGCACGAAAGCGUGGGGAGCAAACAGGAUUAGAUACCCUGGUAGUCCACGCCCUAAACGAUGUCUACUAGUUGUCGGGACUUAAUUGUCUUGGUAACGCAGCUAACGCGUGAAGUAGACCGCCUGGGGAGUACGGUCGCAAGAUUAAAACUCAAAGGAAUUGACGGGGACCCGCACAAGCGGUGGAUGAUGUGGAUUAAUUCGAUGCAACGCGAAAAACCUUACCUACCCUUGACAUGGU
Molecule: ribosomal RNA, 921 nt
Filed under: uncultured bacterium
Lineage: Bacteria
Description: bacterial SSU rRNA
Rfam family: Bacterial small subunit ribosomal RNA
Source: RNAcentral